This 161-nucleotide small RNA is filed under the name Serratia marcescens. RNAcentral describes it as "RtT sRNA". It matches the Rfam family "RtT RNA". From Rfam's summary of the family: This family represents a bacterial cis-regulatory element known as RtT RNA. The exact function of RtT is unknown although it is thought that it may be involved in changing the cellular response in relation to amino acid starvation. The record is from RNAcentral. Lineage: Bacteria; Pseudomonadati; Pseudomonadota; Gammaproteobacteria; Enterobacterales; Yersiniaceae.
UGGCCCACUGAGUCGUGCGGGUGAGAUCCUGCGUUCAGGUUCGAGCAUCGCGCAGCGAUACGACAACGCGCAGCGAUACGACAACGCGCAGCGAUACGACAACGCGCAGCGUUGCCCGUAGGGUGAGGCCACAGGCCGAAUCAAUCCUGCACGACCCACCC